Molecule: long non-coding RNA, 1513 nt
Organism: Bubalus bubalis (water buffalo)
Lineage: Eukaryota; Metazoa; Chordata; Mammalia; Artiodactyla; Bovidae
Exons: 2
Source: RefSeq, a predicted model, not a curated record
GGGCGGCCCUGCCGUGCGCUGGAAUCAGGCCUCCAGAGCCUGCCCAUCACCCACUCGGCCCGGCUGCCGAACAAAACCCGGUGGGGGAGAACGAAGCCAUCCCUUUGGCGCCAGACUUCCCAAACUGCUCCCGGGCGACUCGGAUUAAAGCCAGAACAAGUAUAAAGUCUUUAGGUGACGUUUUCUUCUUGGCGCAUCCGUGAGGGACACGGGGCCAGAUGCCAGCAAUCUGCUUCGCUGUGUUCCUGCAGGAGUUUCUAACUUGACUAACUCGGUCAGUAACUUUCGUCAGCACACAAGGCGCAGUUUUAGUUUCUGAGUCAUACAGACCCUUUCAGGCUCCGAGCUCGCCUCUGAAGGGGAGGGGCCUGCCCUGGCUGUGUUUGGUCACCCUGGCCAUCUAGCCCCUCCUCUCCUGGUAAUAGAAAUAGGAAAGGCAGAAAUCAGGGUAGGAAAGAUCCAUGAGAAUUCGUUAGAAUAUACAAUUAAACUGAACAAAACGCUGAAGCACCAGAAUAUAAUUCCUGGGAAAAAUAGCAGUUUUUCCUCUUCCAUUUGAGGGGCGCCAGGUACCCAGAGGGAACCGGGCUCUCAGCUCAAGAUCAGACGGGACUGCUUUAAAAACCAGAGAUGUGCUUCUUCAAUGUCACCAUCACAUGUGGGGUGACCACGAAGAAAGAAAUCUUCCUUACUUUGGUUCCAGUAGAUACAAUACCAGGACUUUGCUUUCAAAGAAACCAGACGAAAAAAUUCCCUCACUUGGAAGCCAUUUUUUUCUUCAGUUCAAUGGACGCAUUUGCUCAUUUUUAGAAGACCCUUUUUGGGCUUCUUGUGUUGCAGAUGAAACCUGGGUUUCUGUUACUGGGUAGCCCCCAUCCCGCCCUGAAAGCUUGGCAAACACACCCGAUGGAAGCCUCACUCCGCCCGCGUGUGUCCUGGGGCAGGCGGGCCACACCAGGAGCUACUGUCAUUUCUUGGUUCCAGCUCACUCGACUCAGCCUUUGGAGAAGACAUCUUGAUUUUAUUCCAUCUCGGAGAAGUGAAUUGUAGGCCCUCUUUUCUCUUCCGGAAUCUCUCACCAUCUUGCCGUGAGAAGGUAGCUGAUCUGAAUGCCAGCAUGGGAAGCACAGCCCUAAGUCAGAAAACAUUCAGGUACCCAGGCCGGCUGCCUGUUGCCCAUAGAUGGACUGUUCACACAGCUAUUAACGGCAGCAUUCCUGGGUCCAGGAGCCGGGCCAAUAAGCUUACUUGCUCAGGCUUUGUGACAAGAAAGUCUGAGUAGCCAGGAAGUGGGAUGUUUUCAGGGAAAAGUACUAUAGUCCCUCUAGGUCAAAACCCACCCACCUGGUAUAAAUCAAAUCUUUACAUCAAUAAUGUGUCUGUAGUUAAGAACUGAGUCUACUUUUGUGUAUCCCCAACAACAGGGAUUAACUGUUUCAGGUUUACUUUGAAGAAUAGAUGUUGCUAUCUAUUAAAAUGGAGCGAUGUUCAUGUAAUAAUGUCAAGCAAACAA